Molecule: ribosomal RNA, 403 nt
Filed under: uncultured bacterium
Lineage: Bacteria
Description: partial 16S ribosomal RNA
Rfam family: Bacterial small subunit ribosomal RNA
Source: RNAcentral
AUUGAACGCUGGCGGCAGGCCUAACACAUGCAAGUCGAGCGAGCGGCGGAGGGGUGAGGAAUGUAUGGGGACUGCCCGAUAGAGGGGGAUAACAACUGGAAACGGUAGCGAAUACAGCGUACGAUCGGAUAACCCAUAUGGGAUUAGCUAGUAGGUGGGGUAAUGGCUCACAUAGGCGACGAGCCCUAGCGGGUCUGAGAGGAUGAUCAGCCACAUUGGGACUGAGACACGGCCCAGACUCCUACGGAGGCAGCAGUGGGGAAUAUGGCACAAUGGGCGCAAGCCUGAUGCAGCCAUGCCGCGUGUAUGAAGAAGGCCCUCGGGUUGUAAAGUACUUUCAGUCGGGAGGCGUUACCGACAGAAGAAGCCCCGGCUAACUACGUGCCAGCAGCCGCGGUAAUUC